Molecule: long non-coding RNA, 1160 nt
Organism: Mustela erminea (ermine)
Lineage: Eukaryota; Metazoa; Chordata; Mammalia; Carnivora; Mustelidae
Exons: 3
Source: RefSeq, a predicted model, not a curated record
ACAAUGAGGACUUACUGUGAGGAAACAUCUAGCUUCAGCACCAGUGGUUGUCGGGAGUCUUGAGAAUGGUCCUUGCCUUCUUUGCAAAAUUUAGUUCCAACAGAUUUAAUAAAAGAGCAGGACUUGGAAGAAGCAUUCAGAGGUAUGGUCAGGCCCUGCUCAUCUAGAACCCUGCUCGGAUCCAAUUCAGCUAUAGUAAUGCUCUGCAGAGUAUAUGAGCCUCCGCGCUGAAGAUGAUUGAAUCAGAAGUGGACAAUGGCCCAACCUCAACCUCCUCUCCUCUUUGGGAAAUACCUAAGCUGUGGUUGUGUCUAGAACCGCGAUCCCUUGCCAGCUGUCUUCUUCCUCUUCCGCUCAAGAGGAAGCUGCCUUUUUCCAGGUUAAGUGGAGAAUAUGUUCUCAAGGGAAAUGCUUUGCUGUCAGCCCAUAGGGUCAGGCUUCUGACAGAUUAUGUGGCCGAUUUGUCACUCACUGCCAAGAUUUUAAAAGUGUCUAUCGCAGAGUAUGCUUUGCACAUCUGUUGUAUUAUAAGCACAGUGUUAGCUCUCUCCGAAGCUGUCAAGAUAGGAGGAUGUUGCUGUGUUCUCUGAAACAGCCCCUCUGGGUGAUUUUUAAAUGGCAGAGUGUUGGGAUUCUGAAAUGAGGUGAGAUCCCAGAAGAACUAACAAAAACAUUGAAUGAAUAAGUCUGUCCUCCAACAUUAGCUGAGUGUUCAGUGUGCCCAGCAUUCUAGCAAUAUAGUCCAUGUCUAUUACAUCAUAAAUAUUAUGUCCAAGUCCUUUUAAAAUUGCUUUAACGUCUUAAACUAGUAACGGAAAAUAAAUGGGUAAAAAUGGUGGUAUGUUUCUGAUGAGACUUCUAGGCAUGUUUGUAAAAUGAGUUUAGGUGCCUGAAGGAAUAAAUAUUUAAAGUAUAAACAGUAAAGUCUUGAUACAUUUCUUUACUGAUACUUACAACUGGGGGCAGGGGAUCAAACAGGGUUAAGGUAAAAGGGAGUGUGGAGGACCAUGAGAUGUACCCAGGGAUCCUCUUUCCAUGACUGUUACGCUCCCUGCUGGGAGUGCUGUUGGCAGAUAACCUUCCCUAUCAGCCCCCUGGGGUUGCCUCACCAAAGGCACGCCCCUUCCCAGGGCAGCCCAUGUCCCGUGGCUAGUUGAGGC